Molecule: long non-coding RNA, 248 nt
Organism: Physella acuta
Lineage: Eukaryota; Metazoa; Mollusca; Gastropoda; Physidae
Source: RefSeq, a predicted model, not a curated record
UGAGCUGAUUAAAAUGAAGAUCGCAGUUCGCCUUCUUCUGAUGUAUGUUGCAAAUCUCUGUGUUGUGACAGACAGUUGUUGCAAAACGACUGGUGAAGGCUGUACAAGUUACAUGACGUGCUGUGUAGAUUAUGAUUGUGUGGUUAAUACAAGAAGAUAUAAAGGAGAUGGUGGAGAAAAAAUAUGUUGGCCUGUAAAGUAAAAAGAAAAUGAAUGAAAGAAUCUUUACGAAAAAAUAAACAUCGGGC